This 808-nucleotide ribosomal RNA is filed under the name uncultured bacterium. RNAcentral describes it as "bacterial SSU rRNA". It matches the Rfam family "Bacterial small subunit ribosomal RNA", at positions 60 to 864 of the family's 1533-position model. The record is from RNAcentral.
AGUCGAACGGCAGCACGGGAGCAAUCCUGGUGGCGAGUGGCGAACGGGUGAGUAAUACAUCGGAACGUGCCCAAUCGUGGGGGAUAACGCAGCGAAAGCUGUGCUAAUACCGCAUGAGAUCUACGGAUGAAAGCAGGGGACCGCAAGGCCUUGCGCGAAUGGAGCGGCCGAUGGCAGAUUAGGUAGUUGGUGAGGUAAAGGCUCACCAAGCCUGCGAUCUGUAGCUGGUCUGAGAGGACGACCAGCCACACUGGGACUGAGACACGGCCCAGACUCCUACGGGAGGCAGCAGUGGGGAGUUUUGGACAAUGGGCGCAAGCCUGAUCCAGCCAUGCCGCGUGCAGGAUGAAGGCCUUCGGGUUGUAAACUGCUUUUGUACGGAACGAAAAGGCUUUCUCUAAUAAAGAGGGCUCAUGACGGUACCGUAAGAAUAAGCACCGGCUAACUACGUGCCAGCAGCCGCGGUAAUACGUAGGGUGCAAGCGUUAAUCGGAAUUACUGGGCGUAAGGCGUGCGCAGGCGGUGAUGUAAGACAGUUGUGAAAUCCCCGGGCUCAACCUGGGAACUGCAUCUGUGACUGCAUCGCUGGAGUGCGGCAGAGGGGGAUGGAAUUCCGCGUGUAGCAGUGAAAUGCGUAGAUAUGCGGAGGAACACCGAUGGCGAAGGCAAUCCCCUGGGCCUGCACUGACGCUCAUGCACGAAAGCGUGGGGAGCAAACAGGAUUAGAUACCCUGGUAGUCCACGCCCUAAACGAUGUCAACUGGUUGUUGGGUCUUCACUGACUCAGUAACGAAGCUAACGCGUGAAG